GAUGAACGCUGGCGGCGUGCCUAAUACAUGCAAGUCGAGCGAACAGACGAGGAGCUUGCUCCUCUGACGUUAGCGGCGGACGGGUGAGUAACACGUGGAUAACCUACCUAUAAGACUGGGAUAACUUCGGGAAACCGGAGCUAAUACCGGAUAAUAUAUUGAACCGCAUGGUUCAAUAGUGAAAGACGGCUUUGCUGUCACUUAUAGAUGGAUCCGCGCCGCAUUAGCUAGUUGGUAAGGUAACGGCUUACCAAGGCAACGAUGCGUAGCCGACCUAAGAGGGUGAUCGGCCACACUGGAACUGAGACACGGUCCAGACUCCUACGGGAGGCAGCAGUAGGGAAUCUUCCGCAAUGGGCGAAAGCCUGACGGAGCAACGCCGCGUGAGUGAUGAAGGUCUUCGGAUCGUAAAACUCUGUUAUUAGGGAAGAACAAAUGUGUAAGUAACUAUGCACGUCUUGACGGUACCUAAUCAGAAAGCCACGGCUAACUACGUG
Molecule: ribosomal RNA, 497 nt
Filed under: uncultured bacterium
Lineage: Bacteria
Description: partial 16S ribosomal RNA
Rfam family: Bacterial small subunit ribosomal RNA
Source: RNAcentral